AAAGAUGACAGAUGGAAGCCUCAAGCCCGAUGGAACAAAAAGGAAUAGAUCGGAUGCUCACGAACUAUUCCAAAGAAGUAGAGGGAUCUUGUGCAGUAGAGGGCUCUUGCGCAGCUCCCUUACCAAGGACAUCGACGACAAUGUCAGGCUGAGUAAUUAUGUCAAGAACUUUCUCCAAGUUCUGUUGAAUCUUAGAACGUUCGGUGCAGAAACGGUCUUUCUCGUCUAUAGCUUUAUCGUAACAU
This 245-nucleotide long non-coding RNA is filed under the name Ananas comosus (pineapple). RNAcentral's name for it is "long non-coding RNA (ACOM_LNC034567)". Lineage: Eukaryota; Viridiplantae; Streptophyta; Magnoliopsida; Poales; Bromeliaceae. The record is from RNAcentral.